GCCCCUUAUGAUUUGGGCUACACACGUGCUACAAUGGACAAUACAAAGGGCAGCGAAACCGCGAGGUCAAGCAAAUCCCAUAAAGUUGUUCUCAGUUCGGAUUGUAGUCUGCAACUCGACUACAUGAAGCUGGAAUCGCUAGUAAUCGUAGAUCAGCAUGCUACGGUGAAUACGUUCCCGGGUCUUGUACACACCGCCCGUCACACCACGAGAGUUUGUAACACCCGAAGCCGGUGGAGUAACCUUUUAGGAGCUAGCCGUCGAAGGUGGGACAAAUGAUUGGGGUGAAGUCGUAACAAGGUAGCCGUAUCGGAAGGUGCGGCUGGAUCACCUCCUUUCUAAGGA
This 345-nucleotide ribosomal RNA is filed under the name Staphylococcus aureus. Its description in RNAcentral is "bacterial SSU rRNA". It matches the Rfam family "Bacterial small subunit ribosomal RNA", at positions 1197 to 1533 of the family's 1533-position model. The record is from RNAcentral. Lineage: Bacteria; Bacillati; Bacillota; Bacilli; Caryophanales; Staphylococcaceae.